Molecule: non-coding RNA, 5499 nt
Organism: Chrysemys picta bellii (western painted turtle)
Lineage: Eukaryota; Metazoa; Chordata; Testudines; Emydidae
Source: RefSeq, a predicted model, not a curated record
GUGCGGUGGGGGGGGUGCAUCUCUUCCUCCCCCCCCCCCCCCAGUCCAUUCUGGGCAGCGGGGAGGGGCGGACUCUUGUUAGGUGUUUUCACUUCCAUGUUCCAGUUGGGGUGAAGGAUGGUCAGGGUCUGGCAAGUUAAAUGUUAACCCUACCCCCCCCCCCAGCUGAGGAAGCUAGGGGGGCACCCAGCCAGCCUGGGGUGGGGAACAGCGGCCGCUAACUCCCCCCCCCAGUUGCAUGGUUUCUGGGAGCAGCCCAGCGGCCGGCCCAGCUCCGCCUUUCCUCCCUAGACACUAAGGCCCAUACGUGCCAACACAGAGGAAAGGGGGGCAGAAAGGCUGCCCCACAUCAUCUGCGCUGAGCCCCGCUCCUGCCAGCAGGCCUCUCCCAUUCUAAAUAAAAGCCCCGGCUUCCCCCUGGGCCCGUUGGCGGGGGGCGUGGGAGGGGGCAGGCCUCCAAAAUGCCCAAAUCCACAGGCGGCUGGCGCCUCGCUUGGCCCCGUGCGGUGCCUUAAAUCUGCAUUGCGGUGCCUGGUGCUGGCGCCGCUGGGCUCGAACCCGGAACUCGGGGAGCCACACGCCCCGUGGGGGCAGCAAACCUGGCCUGGCGCAGGAACCGGGCGGAAAUCCGCCGGCUCCGACGCGCUGGGCCAGUGCUGGGGAGGGGGAGGGGGACAGAGCCCCAGGGGGACCCCGAGAAAGCUGCACGCUGGCUGCCCCCCUCCCCCAAUGGCUGCGUUUGAAGAUUUUUGUUUUUUCAUGAAUUUUUUUGUAAAUUUCCUUUUUAAAAAAAAAAAAGAGAGAAAAGUUUCCUCCUCCUUUCCCAGCCCCCUGGCCGGGGGGUGCAAGGGGGGGGGAGCGUAGAGCUGUGAUGUUUGCUGCUCCCAUGUUCUGGGUGUUAAGUUCCACCUUUUGGAGGUGUUGGGGGGGGUCCUGCUGACGCUAGCGCUGGGGGGGGGUUUGGCGUCGCUGGCUGUGACGGCGUCUUCGGCUGAAAUUGUUUGAUGCAGGUUUUUUAAAACUGUUGUAUUGAUUUGUGACAUGAAUGCACGGGGGGGGCACGGAUGUGUCAGCGGGGGGGGGGGCGAUUGAAGAAGGUUUACGUUUGUUUGCUUUUUCUGUGGCGUUGCUUUUUGGGGUGUUUUGGUUGCGCAACCCCCACCCGCAGGCCUGCGGUUUGCUGUGGGGGGGUCCUGGCCAUGGCUGCUGGGCGGGUGCCCAGAGCAGCUGGCGCCUCCAGAAGGCACAGCGAGUCCCUCGUCCAUUUCAGCUGCAUGGGGGGGGGCAUUCCCUCAAAAGCCAAGCGCCCCCCCCAAAAAAACACCUCAGCACUUUGUAACAACUUGGGGGGGGGGGGGCUCAUUACAAAUAAGCCAAUAGGUUGCCCUAGUGGUACCUCCUCCUCCCUAGCUAGUUACCUGCCCCAAACACCUGAGCCUGUCCUCCCCCACCCCAGCCAAUAAACCUCCUGUCCCUGCCCCCCUAUUGACAGGCCAGCCCUGGGCCUCUGAGCCCUGGGCCAGUGGGGGGGGCCCAGCGCGCCAGGUUCAGGGUUUUGUCCGUUAACCAAAGAUCACUGGGCCCCACGGCGCCGCCCCACAACAUCAGGGCAGCAUCAGCACCCCCUGCCCCCCGGACAAAGCCCUUUCCAGGCAGCCGGAGACCCCCAUUGUCAACCCAAGCAGCUGGGGCCAGGCCUUGGCAGGCAGGGGGUGGUGAGGGGCAGUGUGGGACCCACAAAAAAGUGCCGCUCUGCCUCGAGCUGGGUUCCCUGCCCCCUGGGGGGCCUGCUUGUCCCCACUCCCCUGAUCUCGGCUGCUGCCCCGUGUCGUAUCUAGGAAGGGGGGAGCAGGGGGGUCUAAGCAUCUGGAGUGUUGGGGUGCGUGUGUGUGUGUGGGGGGGGGCUAGUCUCAGCUCUGCCCCCGCCCCACUCCAGCAUUUCCUGGGCUUGGGGCGCCACAGGUUGUUGGGGGGCACGGGGCCCUGCAGCCCUAGCCUAGCCAUGGGCCAAGGCCGGCCCCUGCUGGUGGGGCCCACCCUGGGGCAGGCAGGGGGGCAGUUGGCGCUGCAGUUCCCUGCUCCACUGCUGGUGUUCAGGUCUGAGCAAUAAGAGGCCAUUUGCCCCCCCUUGCCCCACUGCCAGUGCAGGGGGUAGGGCCUGGCUGGGCAGAUAUCCUGCUGGAUUUUGAGUCUUGUGCCUUGAUCGUUCCCUGCCUGAGAUCCAGCCCCUGCACUUUAGGGUCUAGCGCAGGGCGGGCGGCGUUUAGCUCCCCCAUUAACAGCCUAGGCCAAGAGACCCCCUUGCCCACACGCCCUGGGAGUUGUGCCAGUCCCUGAGGCCUGGCAGAUCCUGGCUUAGCACCUCCCGGCCCCCAGCGCACUGCCCGUCAUUGGCCAGCAUGGCUUCCCCUCUCCUGAACCCGGCUCUGCGUCCAACUCGCCCCCGCUACACAGCUACCUCGCCCCCAUGGCGGCUUCUCUCCCAAGCCCAGCGGUGCAAAGCCAUGGCCCAUUCCCCGCUCUCUGCCGGUUCCCCCCCCCUGCCCGGGGGGAGCGUUCAUGGUUUCACAAACCUCAUGUUGCUGCUAAUUACUGGGGCACCUGUUCGCCAGGCAGGGCCCCGCCGGUUGUGUUUUCAGAUGGCAUUUUGUUCCGUUGCCUGGGUCGGGGAGUGGGUUAGGUCUCGAGCAGGCUGGGGCGGGGGAUGACAGCGGGGGGGUCCCACCCGGGCUCACACCCCGGCAGCUAACCAAAGAGGGAGAAGUAGCCGCAUUUGUGCUCAGCAUUGGGGCCGGGAAGCCACAGGGGGGCGGGGUGGUGGUGGAUAAAACAGCCUCUGGCAUUAAAGGACAGGCCACGGGCAUCGCUGGUGCCUGGGGACGGGAAGCCACAGCCUCAAGGCUGGUGCCUGCUGCCUUAGGACCAGCCCAGCGUGGGGUUUAAUCCCAGCAGAGGAGCGUUAGCCGGAGAAGCAGAGCCCGGGCUCGCCAGGCAGGCUGGAGCUGGGUGCCAGGCUGGGGAUGCUGGCCAGUGCCUGGCCUGCCAAAAACAGGCUCUUGCCUGAGACGGUGAGGGAGGGGUGCAAGGCCUUGGGUCUGUGCCAGCUGCUCCUCCCCCAUUGAAAUCGGCAGCUCCGAGCCUUGAGCUGUAGCGGUUGUGACCCCCAGAACCACCCCCCGAAGCUGGGGGCGCCGGCCCCAUCUCAGCCCGCCCGCUGCACCCGUGGCCCUCCCAGCACCCGCCUCUGGCCUUGGCAUCAUUGCAGGCACCAAAUCACACAUGAGACCCGCGGGUGUGGGGUCACGCGCCUGCCCCACAGGGCUGUAGGCUAGCCCCAGCACUGGCUCGAGGCCAUAACGGCCGGGCAGGGGGCUGGGGCCCACUGGAGAAAGGGGAUGCUAAACCAACCACCUCUUUUGCCAUUGCCCCGUGCUGCUUCUCCCCCCCCCCCAGCCCUGUCUUGCACCGCCCCCCCUCCCCCCAGGAGUUAGCACCCUUUAAUUUAUACCAAGGAGCAUUUUGUACAGGUUUUUAAGUUUUGGGGUUUUUUAAAAAAAAUCUCGAGGUUUCUAGUUUUGUAUUCUUCCCGCUUCUGUGCUCCAGCCGGGCUUGUGUGUCCCCCGUCCCCCCCGCCUCUGAUGGAGCUCCCACUCUGCUCAUGUGGAAGUUUUUGUUUUUAAAUAAAAAGGUGGGAAAGAAAAGUCGGCUCGGUCUCCUCUGUGGUUUGGCGGUUGCCUGGGCAAGGCCUGGUCGGUUAGUACAGCCGCAGCAAUUCUGGCUUCCAGCACCAGGGGGGCGCUCUCCGGCAACUAGGCACAUGAUGCACAACCUGUGGAACUCAUUGCCAGGGGACACUGUGAAGGCCAAAAGCAGAAUGAAACCAGUUCAUAGAGGUCUGGCCCUGGCCCCCAUGCUCCAGGUGGCUCUAAACUUCUGUCAGAAGCUGGGGCUGGACACUCGCUACUGGCCCUGUUCUGUUCACACCCUCAAGUAUUAGCCACCGGCCACUGUCCAAGCUGGUCCCCUGUUCUUAAGCCAUGGGGGUGGGGGACAGUGUAUUCAAGGCUGCGCCGCAGCCCAGUAUAGGCUCUGCCCCCACCCCCAGGGCAGAGAUCAGCGGCCGUGACCCUGGGCCGGCGCUGCAGCAGUUGCUGUUAGAGAAGCUGGGCGGAGAGGGGACCCGCUCGGGUCAGAGCAGGGGCCAGGCUCCACACAAGCUGGGUUAAUUCAGGAGCACGGGAGAGAACGGAGCCGGGGGAGCAGCAGGAACCGGGCCCCUCUAGUGCUGCCCGGGGCUGCAGCUCGGUCCUGCCGCACGGGAGGGGCCAGGCUCCCUCCCGGCGUUCCCAAGCCGAGGGGGCGGCGAGGGAGCCCAGCGAUCAGGCGGGUUGAGAUGCGUCAGAAGCAGCUGCACAGGCAUGACUCAGCGGGUGCAGGCAGCCAACCGCCUCUGCAGCGGCAGCUCCCGCUCCCCCGGCCCGGGAGCCAGUUAAAAGGGAGGCAGGCGGGAGCCACCACCUCCCAGCUGCAUGGGCCCAAGUUCCAGUCCUUGUAGUGGGUGCCUCAAUCCCCUAGGCCGCUCAGCUUUCUAACGGUGACAGCCUCAUUUACCCACCAGCUGCGUUUUGGUGCAGUUACAGUGCCCUGGGGCGGGCGCAGUCAGACCCUCAUGGGAGUGCUCCAAGCCACACCCCAGGGAAUGAGCUACCAGGUUACGCGCCCCUUGCACCCCGGGGAACCAUGCCCAGCCUGAGGCUUGCGCGGUAGCAACGCUGGAGCAAAGAAAACACGCCCCAGGCCGUUAUACCAGGACAAGAUCGGAGCAAGGCCUGGCCGCUGUCCUUUGCCCGCUUCCUGGCACGGCUAGUGAACGCCUGAACUUCAGAUCUGAAAAGCCAGCUGGGAUCUCUCCCUCUUCCCCCCACCAUCCAGCUGCCCCCACCAGAAACACCCCCGACGACACCGUCUCUAUCAAACGUGGGUUUGUUUUUAUUCUCGCAACUUGACAAGCACUCUCUACCGCUGUACUUGUGGGAACAUCACAUGGCAACAAACAGGAGUUAAUCUAGAAUAUUUUUUUUCCUUUAAACCUUAUUAAAAAUGAGAUUGGUCCUAAAAAUAUAGAAAGAAAUAAAUUUAAAUUCACAAAAACUGUACAUUAUCAAAAAGUCACUAAAACACCACAUUUGGUUAUAUAAAAAAGAGCCAGUCCUGUUCCUUUUACAAGGAACAUCAGAACAUUUUUCUUUUACGGUGGUUGGUUCUUCCUGUUUUAUCAGACAGAGACGGGGCGGGAGGGGAGGGGAGGGGGAAGGCCAGUUCUAGACAACCCCUCCCCCCCAAAAAAUGUAAUUUACAAAGCCAACUCAUUAAGGGUUAAAAAACAAAAUAUAUUCCACAUCUUAACAUUUCUUGUACUCAGUCCAGAAUGGAUUUCUACACUCUGGUGCAUCCCCAAUAAGGAAGAGCGGGUGGGAUUUCAGACACGUCUGGAUUAAU